Molecule: ribosomal RNA, 253 nt
Filed under: uncultured bacterium
Lineage: Bacteria
Description: partial 16S ribosomal RNA
Rfam family: Bacterial small subunit ribosomal RNA
Source: RNAcentral
UACGUAGGGGGCUAGCGUUGUCCGGAAUCAUUGGGCGUAAAGAGCGUGUAGGCGGCCCGGUAAGUCCGCUGUAAAAGUCAAAGGCUCAACCUUUGAAUGUCAGUGGAUACUGCCGGGCUAGAGUCCGGAAGAGGCGAGUGGAACUCCUGGUGUAGCGGUGGAAUGCGCAGAUAUCAGGAAGAACACCAACGGCGAAGGCAGCUCGCUGGGACGGUACUGACACUGAGGAACGAAAGCCAGGGGAGCGAAAGGG